CAGAGUUGCAAACUUCCCAACCCUGUGACACCCGAACUGCAUUGUUGACUCGGCGGGAGCCCCUCAAGGAGCCGACCGCGGCGGACUGCAAAUCUUUUGAACUACCAUUCUGAUUACUUAUUCAAUAAGUA
Molecule: unclassified non-coding RNA, 131 nt
Filed under: soil metagenome
Description: partial internal transcribed spacer 1
Source: RNAcentral